UACGUAGGGUGCGAGCGUUGUCCGGAAUUACUGGGCGUAAAGAGCUCGUAGGCGGUUUGUCGCGUCGUCCGUGAAAACUUGGGGCUCAACCCCAAGCUUGCGGGCGAUACGGGCAGACGUUGAGUACUGCAGGGGAGACUGGAAUUCCUGGUGUAGCGGUGAAAUGCGCAGAUAUCAGGAGGAACACCGGUGGCGAAGGCGGGUCUCUGGGCAGUAACUGACGCUGAGGAGCGAAAGCGUGGGUAGCGAACAGG
RNAcentral lists this ribosomal RNA (254 nucleotides) under uncultured bacterium. Its description in RNAcentral is "partial 16S ribosomal RNA". It matches the Rfam family "Bacterial small subunit ribosomal RNA", at positions 524 to 776 of the family's 1533-position model. The record is from RNAcentral.